AGAACGAACGCUGGCGGCAGGCCUAACACAUGCAAGUCGAACGCUCGUAGCAAUACGGGAGUGGCAGACGGGUGAGUAACGCGUGGGAACCUUCCCAGUGGUACGGAAUAGCUCAGGGAAACUUGAGGUAAAUACCGUAUACGCCCCUAGGGGGAAAGAUUUAUCGCCAUUGGAUGGGCCCGCGUCGGAUUAGCUAGUUGGUGAGGUAACGGCUCACCAAGGCGACGAUCCGUAGCUGGUUUGAGAGAAUGACCAGCCACACUGGGACUGAGACACGGCCCAGACUCCUACGGGAGGCAGCAGUGGGGAAUCUUGGACAAUGGGCGCAAGCCUGAUCCAGCCAUGCCGCGUGAGUGACGAAGGCCUUAGGGUUGUAAAGUCCUUUCGACGGGAAGAUAAUGACGGUACCGUAGAAGAACGCCCGGACUAACGUUCGCGCCAGCAGCCGC
This 449-nucleotide ribosomal RNA is filed under the name uncultured bacterium. RNAcentral describes it as "SSU rRNA". It matches the Rfam family "Bacterial small subunit ribosomal RNA", at positions 26 to 518 of the family's 1533-position model. The record is from RNAcentral.